CUACGGGGGGCAGCAGGCGCGAAACCUUUACAAUGCACGCAAGUGUGAUAAGGGGAUCCUAAGUGCUCAUGUUUUACAUGGGCUUUUGUUAAGAGUAAAUAUCUUGGCGGAUAAGUGGUGGGUAAGACUGGUGCCAGCCGCCGCGGUAACACCAGCGCCACGAGUGGCAACCGCGUUUAUUGGGCCUAAAGCGUCCGUAGCCGGUUUGGUAAAUCUUCAGUGAAAUCGUCAGGCCUAACUUGACGGCGGGCUGGAGACACUGCCAAACUCGAGACCGGGAGGAGUCAGAGGUAUUCCUGAGGGAGCGGUAAAAUGCGAUAAUCUCAGGAGGACCAUCUAUGGCGAAGGCAUCUGACCAGAACGGAUCUGACGGUGAGGGACGAAGGCCAGGGGAGCGAUCCGGAUUAGAUACCCCAGUAGUC
Molecule: ribosomal RNA, 422 nt
Filed under: uncultured archaeon
Lineage: Archaea
Description: partial 16S ribosomal RNA
Rfam family: Archaeal small subunit ribosomal RNA
Source: RNAcentral